GACGAACGCUGGCGGCGUGCUUAACACAUGCAAGUCGAACGGAAAGGCCCUGCUUUUGUGGGGUGCUCGAGUGGCGAACGGGUGAGUAACACGUGAGUAACCUGCCCUUGACUUUGGGAUAACUCCAGGAAACUGGGGCGAAUACCGGAUAGGAGCUCUUGCUGCACGGUGGGGGUUGGAAAGUUUCGGUGGUUGGGGAUGGUCUCGCGGCUUAUCAGCUUGUUGGUGGGGUAGUGGCUUACCAAGGCUUUGACGGGUAGCCCGCCUGAGAGGGUGACCGGCCACCUUGGGACUGAGAUACGGCCCAGACUCCUACGGGAGGCAGCAGUGGGGAAUAUUGCACAAUGGGCGGAAGCCUGAUGCAGCAACGCCGCGUGCGGGAUGACGGCCUUCGGGUUGUAAACCGCUUUCGCCUGUGACGAAGCGUGAGUGACGGUAAUGGGUAAAGAAGCACCGGCUAACUACGUG
This 468-nucleotide ribosomal RNA is filed under the name uncultured bacterium. Its description in RNAcentral is "partial 16S ribosomal RNA". It matches the Rfam family "Bacterial small subunit ribosomal RNA", at positions 28 to 507 of the family's 1533-position model. The record is from RNAcentral.